UCACAUUCUCACCCCCCAAUCCUUGACCAGAAGAUGAAGAUGAUUUUUCAAACUUAAAAAAAUUGAAAGAGCAGAAGAUUUACACUUUCCAUCUAUAUCCCCAGACAAUAGAACUACAAGCAGACCUAACACCUGGAAGAGAGGUAACUCCAGUAUUCUACAUAGACUCUGAACUUCCUUCAGAACUCUGCAAAAAGUUUCCUACACAAAAGGAGAGCUUCAUGGCAACUCUACCAAAGGAAGAAAAACCAGAAGAACUGGAUUGCUCCCUUCAAUGUGAGAAUCAUCAGGAUUGCAGAGCCAAGGGUGUUAACCCAUUGUUUCUAUCAAGAGGCUUUGUGGAGAGAAUAUUGCUUUUUAAAAAGCAAGUGAUGGGGCCCCCACAGAGAAGUUAAAUUUAAUAAAGUUAAUUCCCCCUUAAAAAUUAUUUUCUUGAAGUUUCUAAACUGCUAGUCACCACGUAAAAGACAAUUCUUAAAGUUCUUAAAGUAGUUUCUAAUCAGAGUUAGGAUACCUAUUGUAACAGUGGCACAAAAUAAAUGGGCU
Antechinus flavipes (yellow-footed antechinus) is the source of this 546-nucleotide long non-coding RNA. RefSeq lists it as uncharacterized. The transcript is spliced from 3 exons. The record is from RefSeq and is a predicted model, not a curated record. Lineage: Eukaryota; Metazoa; Chordata; Mammalia; Dasyuromorphia; Dasyuridae.